RNAcentral lists this ribosomal RNA (380 nucleotides) under uncultured eukaryote. RNAcentral describes it as "partial 18S ribosomal RNA". It matches the Rfam family "Eukaryotic small subunit ribosomal RNA", at positions 592 to 976 of the family's 1831-position model. The record is from RNAcentral.
CAAUAGCGUAUAUUAAAGUUGUUGCGGUUAAAAAGCUCGUAGUUGGAUUUCUGCUGAGAACGACCGGUCCGCCCUCUGGGUGUGUAUCUGGCUCUUUCUUGGCAUCUUCUUGGUGAACGUUGCUGCACUUGACUGUGUGGAGCGCUACCCAGGACUUUUACUUUGAGGAAAUUAGAGUGUUUCAAGCAGGCAUACGCCUUGAAUACAUUAGCAUGGAAUAAUAAGAUAGGACCUCGGUUCUAUUUUGUUGGUUUCUAGAGCUGAGGUAAUGAUUAAUAGGGAUAGUUGGGGGCAUUCGUAUUUAACUGUCAGAGGUGAAAUUCUUAGAUCGUUGAAAGAUGACCUUAGGCGAAAGCAUUUACCAUGGAUGUUUUCAUUAA